Molecule: transfer RNA, 68 nt
Filed under: Xenopus muelleri (Muller's clawed frog)
Lineage: Eukaryota; Metazoa; Chordata; Amphibia; Anura; Pipidae
Description: tRNA-His
Rfam family: tRNA
About the family: Transfer RNA (tRNA) molecules are approximately 80 nucleotides in length.
Source: RNAcentral
GUAAACAUAGUUUAAUAAAACACUAGAUUGUGAUUCUAGCGUUAGAGGUUAAACCCCUCUUGCUUACC